Molecule: long non-coding RNA, 980 nt
Organism: Chinchilla lanigera (long-tailed chinchilla)
Lineage: Eukaryota; Metazoa; Chordata; Mammalia; Rodentia; Chinchillidae
Exons: 4
Source: RefSeq, a predicted model, not a curated record
UGCAGUGAGUCACACAGGCCAGUGACUGAGAGAAGCCUCCUUGGAACUCUGAGUACUUGCUGGACUGUGUGAAAGGGAGCCUUACCUGGGAAACACGUAGACAUUGAAGAAACAGUGUCAGGUCCAGCUGGGGGAGCCCGGUGGAGGGCGGAAGGGAGCCACUGGGGCGCUCCUGGGAUCUGUGACCAAGGGGAUGAAGCCCGGAGCAGGAGGUGGCCUUGGGAACAAGGAGCGGCAGAGAUGGAGGAGUACGGAGUCUCGGAGAAGAUGGGGUCAGAAGACAUGUGAGAGAUGCCUGCAGUGAGGAGCUGACGCGCUUCCCGCCAUGGGAGCGCUCAACAGUGCCCCGUAGUGUGACUGCAGCAAAAUACUGCAACCAUCUGGUGCAAGUCUAGAAACUGAGCUUUGCUCAGAAGCUCCUUCUGCGACUGCUCUAAGGCGCUCUCCAGCAGUGAUCACGAGAAGAUGAACCAUGGAGAGGUCGCUGGAUUUACUGAGACCAGCUAGGAUUUUGAGCUUUGACUUCAUGCCCUUGAGAAGAACAGGACCUUUCUCCUGGUAUAGCGAGUGCAUCUUCCGUGUGGAGGCUUCUCUUCUGCUCUUAGGAAGGAAAAGGAAAAGGGCGUCUAGGCUGAGGAACGUGAUUUGAUCUUCCUGCGUCUGUUUAUGUGCGUGGUAACUGACAGUAAGCGACACUGAACUUUCAUUUCCUGCUCGCUGAAUCUGGGGCAGACGGCGCUGGAGGAUGACUCAGUGGCUCCCGCAGCAACUGCCUUUGGAGGAAAGGGCUUCCUGAUUGCACCACGGGCUCUUCUUAAAGAUAUUUGUACUUUUCCUGCCCACCCCCAACACUCCUGAGCUUCUCUUUUCGCAUCAAGAUCUCUAACCGCCGUCUCUAACCACUGCCCACAUUUACUUCAACCUGGUUACCCACUGUUUCUUGAGUAUAUCUACCAGUUUCUAUGAAGUUAGAAUCGAUU